Molecule: ribosomal RNA, 374 nt
Filed under: uncultured organism
Description: partial 16S ribosomal RNA
Rfam family: Bacterial small subunit ribosomal RNA
Source: RNAcentral
GUAGGUGGCAAGCGUUGUCCGGAAUUAUUGGGCGUAAAGCGCGCGCAGGCGGUUCUUUAAGUCUGAUGUGAAAGCCCACGGCUCAACCGUGGAGGGUCAUUGGAAACUGGAGAACUUGAGUACAGAAGAGGAAAGCGGAAUUCCACGUGUAGCGGUGAAAUGCGUGGAGAUGUGGAGGAACACCAGUGGCGAAGGCGGCUUUCUGGUCUGUAACCGACGCUGAGGUGCGAAAGCGUGGGGAGCAAACAGGGAUUAGAUACCCUGGUAGUCCACGCCGUAAACGAUGAGUGCUAAGUGUUAGGGGGGUUUCCGCCCCCUUAGUGCUGCAGCUAACGCAUUAAGCACUCCGCCUGGGGAGUACGGCCGCAAGGCUG